RNAcentral lists this transfer RNA (76 nucleotides) under Pseudidiomarina fusca. RNAcentral describes it as "Pseudidiomarina sp. GXY010 tRNA-Gly". It matches the Rfam family "tRNA". From Rfam's summary of the family: Transfer RNA (tRNA) molecules are approximately 80 nucleotides in length. Their secondary structure includes four short double-helical elements and three loops (D, anti-codon, and T loops). The record is from RNAcentral. Lineage: Bacteria; Pseudomonadati; Pseudomonadota; Gammaproteobacteria; Alteromonadales; Idiomarinaceae.
GCGAGAAUAGCUCAGCUGGUCGAGCACAACCUUGCCAAGGUUGGGGUCGCGAGUUCGAAUCUCGUUUCUCGCUCCA